UGGGGAAUAUUGCACAAUGGGCGCAAGCCUGAUGCAGCCAUGCCGCGUGUAUGAAGAAGGCCUUCGGGUUGUAAAGUACUUUCAGCGGGGAGGAAGGCGAUAAGGUUAAUAACCUUGUCGAUUGACGUUACCCGCAGAAGAAGCACCGGCUAACUCCGUGCCAGCAGCCGCGGUAAUACGGAGGGUGCAAGCGUGAAUCGGAAUUACUGGGCGUAAAGCGCACGCAGGAGGUCUGUCAAGUCGGAUGUGAAAUCCCCGGGCUCAACCUGGGAACUGCAAUCGAAACUGGCAGGCUAGAGUCUUGUAGAGGGGGGUAGAAUUCCAGGUGUAGCGGUGAAAUGCGUAGAGAUCUGGAGGAAUACCGGUGGCGAAGGCGGCCCCCUGGACAAAGACUGACGCUCAGGUGCGAAAGCGUGGGGAGCAAACA
RNAcentral lists this ribosomal RNA (427 nucleotides) under uncultured bacterium. Its description in RNAcentral is "partial 16S ribosomal RNA". It matches the Rfam family "Bacterial small subunit ribosomal RNA", at positions 355 to 774 of the family's 1533-position model. The record is from RNAcentral.